Scylla paramamosain (green mud crab) is the source of this 10038-nucleotide long non-coding RNA. RefSeq lists it as uncharacterized. NCBI's taxonomy places the organism in Eukaryota, Metazoa, Arthropoda, Malacostraca, Decapoda, Portunidae. The record is from RefSeq and is a predicted model, not a curated record. The transcript is spliced from 2 exons.
AGUAUGAAAGGCAAUCAUAAUCUUACUAUCGAGAAAAUAAAAAAAAACACAUAUUAGUUGCAGUAAAAUAAAAAAAAAAUGUUUAUAUACAUAUAUAACAAAAUAGAUAAAUGAUCAAAUAAAUAUAUUAGCCGCUCCCCGCCUGCCGCUGUGUGGAGUCUGGUGACCAUAACAACGGGACGCCGCGAUGGCCCUAUCCGCUCCUUAUGAAUAUUCCGUCCUGCAUCACAACCCAACAUGUCCUGACUCUCAGGCAUAGCCUCAGCGUGCGGAAGGAAUGACAUUGUGACAUCGCAAAAUGUCACCCCUUACAGAUGUCACCAACCCUCCUGGGCAUGAGCCUCUGCUUUAUACUCAACACACGAUCUUCCAGAAGAGAGAAAGAAUGAGACUAUCCAGAUCUUGUCCAAGAAUCCCAUGUCAUCAGAGUCGAGAUGAAAUAAACAAGGCACAAUCUCACAAAAGCUUCAAAGAAAAAAUUGAAUCAGUGGCAAUAAAAAUGUGCAAUAUUCAGGUUUCAGAUCAGAAACAUACCAGUACUUACAGCCAGGGAUUUACUGCAAACUGUAUGUGUUCAAAUUCAAGGAACCAAAGUGAUGUACUGUUGGCUUCACAGACAACAGAUAUAUUAUUGUCACAAGCAGUAGAGACCCUUAGCCUUAGUCAAAACAGUGUUCAAUCACGUUUGCAGACAUCCAGUCAAACAGGCCAACACAGAAAAAAGUUGGGGAAAAUCCCAGAAAAAAAACAUAAAGUAAAAAGUAAAGUGGUAGCAAGUUGCAGUGGUCUUCCAGAAACACCAGGCACUUGUGAGAGUGGCAUCUCCUCACAGCAGUGUGGUGCAUGUGGCCAGGAGUUCACUUCCUUGCCUUUGCUCACUCUGCACUUAGCACGGCAUGUGUAUGAUGGCCUAUAUGCUGCUCAGUGGUUGAAUCAGGCAAUGUCUUUAGUUGCAUCAAGGCAACCCUCACAUGAUGAUAAGAACAGUAUUAAUGGUGUACAAAAUUCUUCAGUGGACUGAUCCAUAGCAGCUUUGUCAAUGCAAUUUAGAUUGUUGGAAUCACUUCCUUAUUUGUGCUAUAAAUGUUUAUGAUAAGAUGUGAAUGUAAUUGCACGUUUUCCAGUGUUAUCAUCUUUCAUUACAUAAAAUGCACAGAAAACUGUAUUUUGCUUUUGGACCAGGAUCUACUCAGGUGAAAAUGAAGUAAAAGCACUUAAUUUUUUGGAAAAUUGAAAUUCAUAACUUUCACUCAUUGGCACCACUGCCAUCUCAUCUAUCUCUAAAGCUGAAUUCUUCACUCAGGUCUUUGCUAAAAGUUCUACUGUGGAUGAUUCAGGGUUUGUUCCUCCCUCUUUUCCAUCCUCAGACUACUUCAUGUUACCUAUUAAAAUUCUUUGCAGUGAUGUUUUCCAUGCUCUUGCUGGCUUAAACCUUUGUACCCUCAGAAGGCUUACAGACCUGAUGGGGUCCAUCCUAUUGUUCUCUGAAACUGUGCCUCUGUGCUUCCACCUUGCCUAGUCAAACUCUUUCAACCCUGUCUGUCAAAUUUUACCUUUCCUUCUUGCUGGAAGUUUGCCUACAUUCAGCCUGUACCCUCAAACUAUCAUCCUAUUGCUUUAAUUUCCUGCCUAUCUAAAGUUUUGAAUCUCUUCUCAACAGGAAGAUUAUUAAACAUCUUUCACUUCACAAUCUUCUAUCUGAUCACCACCAUGGGUUCCGUCAAGGACACUCUACUGCUGAUCUUUUGGCUUUCCUUACUGAGUCUUAGUCAUCCUCUUUUAGAGAUUUCGGUGAAACUUUUGCUGUUACCUUAGACGUAUCAAAAGCUUUGAUAGAGUCUGGCACAAAGCUUUGAUUUCCAAAGUACCCUCCUAUGGUUUCUAUCCUUCUCUCUGUAACUUCAUCUCAAGUUUCCUUUUUGACUGUUCUUUUGCUGCUGUGGUAGAUGGUCACUGUUCUUCUAAAUCUUAUAUUAACAGUGGUGUUCCACAGGGUUCUGUCCUGUCAUCCUUUUUCUUCCUAUUAUUCAUCAAUGAUCUUCUAAACCAAACUUCUUGUCCUAUCCACUCUUAUGCUGAUGAUACCACCCUGGACUUUUCCACCUCUUUUUAUAGAUGUCCAACCCUUCAGGAAGUAAACAGUUCGUGUAGGGAAGCCACACAAUACCUGACUUCUGAUCUCUCUAGAAUUCUAGAAUUUCUGAUUGGGGCAGAGCAAACUUAGUAUUGUUCAAUGCCUCAAGAACUAAAUUCCUCCAUCUAUCAACUUGACACAACUUUCCAGGCAACUAUGCCCUCUUCUUCAAUAACAUUCAACCUGUCUCCCUCUACAGUGAACAUCCUUGGUCUGAGUUUUACUUAUAAUCUAAACUGGAAACUUUACGUCUCAUCUCUAGCUAAAACAGCUUCUAUGAAGUUAGGCAUUCUAAGAUGUCUCUGCCAGUUUUACUCACCUUUCCAGCUGCUAACUUUGUACAAGGGUCUUAUCUGUCCAGGUAUGGAGUAUGCUUCAUAUGUCUGGGAGGGGGGUGGGGGUCCACUCAUAGCACUUUUCUAGACAGGGUGGAAUCAAAAGCAUUUCAUCUCAUCAACUCCUCUUCUCUUACUGACUGUCUUCAACCUCUUUCUCAUCACCGCAAUGUUGUUCUCUUCUAUCGUUAUUUUCAUGCUAACUGCUCUUCUGAUCUCACUAACUGCAUGCCUCCCCUCCUUCCACAGCCUUGCUGCACAAGACUCUUCUUUCUCUCACCCCUAUUCUGUCCACCUCUCUAAUGCAAAAGUUAAUCAGUAUUCUCAAUCAUUCAUCCCCUUCUCAUGUAAACUCUGGAACUCCCUUCCUGCUUCUGCAUUUCCACGUUCCUAUGACUUGAACUCCUUCAAGAGUGAGGUUUCAAGAUGCUUAUCCUUCAGUUUUUGACUACAGCUUUGAACCCUAUUUUGGGACCAGCAUAUCGGUGGUCUUUUUUUUUUUUUUUUUUCCCUUCCCCUUGGCCAGUGUCCCUCCUACAUAAAAAAAAAUUGUAUCUGAGAACAUCUGAAAAUCCUGUUUUUGUUUGCAUUUGUUAUUUUCAAUUAUUUAUUUAUUUAUUUAUUUAUUUAUAUGAAUUUCUUUAUUAUAUUUCUAGUAUUAGUGCAAUAUCUCUUCAAUGGAGAGAAAUUAUUGAGGCAUUGAUAGAUAUUUUUUUUCUAUUUGUUGAUGAACUCUUUAUCCCUCUUGCAUUUUGUUUGUUGAUAUUUUAAGGCAUGCAUUGUGUGAUUAGUAGAAUCUUUACUAAUGCCUACUGUGGUUAUUUGCUGGUUGGCAUAAUUCAGUCAUUUCUGUAAAAAUCACUUUGAAUUUUUGGUUUUAAGUACUUGUAUACAAUUUGCACAUUUUGCAGAUUAACUUAUUUAAGCUAAGUGUAACCAUCUUGAAAGUCAAAGGUGUGUCAAAAGAAGCAUAGGGAUAUUCUUAUUCCAUGUUAUUUUAUGGGUAUUUGGAUCUCAAGUUUGUACUUUAUUUCUCAUGUAAAGUUUUGCUUUGUAAAUACAUUUUUAAUGGUGAUUCCAUCACCCACUUCUAAUGUAAAAGCUCACGAGUACCAUUCUUCCCCAAACUUUGUGUGAGUGCACUUAUGUUUUGUGUCCAGUUCAUAUUCAGGAAACAAAUUACUGGAUAGCUCAGGAAGUCUUGAAUGAUAUUUAGUAUUUAACUUUUAUGUCUACUUGAGAAAGGAACAUGAAAUCCAUGUAUUUUUUUGUUAUAUGCUUUGUCCCUUCUUUUGAAGAAAGCCAAUUGUAUGAUUAUAUAUAUAUAUAUAUAUAUAUAUAUAUAUAUAUAUAUAUAUAUAUAUAUAUAUUGCAUUCCCUGUGGAAGUGAGGUAAGCAACAUGCACAAGAAAACUAGAGAACAGAUCCAGUAUUAACUUGAGCAAUCAUUGUUUCAUAGGUACAUUUGUCUUUAAUCAACCCCAGAGCUGAAGUUCAGCUUUGAUGCUGCUUUUUUUUUCUUACCCACCCCAGCUCAUAACCAGUGUUAACUGAAAUAAUAAAAAAUUAAAUUCUUUCUAGUUCAGCUAUACUUUUAAGAUUUAAGAAUACUAAUGUUACUUUCUGCUAUUCACUUAGUUCUUGGUAUCAAAAUAAGAGAAGAAUGAAUACCAGAGGAUGAGGCUGAGGCCUUCAUCAUCUCUCAAAAGACUCCACAAUGGAAACAAAAUAAAAAAAAAAUAGAGAAAAAAAAUGGAAGUAUAAGACUUGGCAUAGAGAGAAUAUUAGAGGAGAAGAAUCUUGCCUUGUACAUGUGGGGAGGGAGAGUUUUAAGGCCUGGUGUGCCUUAGAAAGCCUGAAUAGUUGGUCAGUGUGAGGCAUGUGAUACCUAUAGAUAACCCUUGUGUCACUUGUCUCACUUCAACAAGGAGUGCCACAUAUGCUGUUGCAUUUGCUGUAUACUUUAUGCUUUUGCAUUUAAAUUAAUAGAAAAUUGAGCAACAUUUGUGUGAGGGCAUGUGAAAUCUUUCUGGCAUAAAUUGUGUAGAACAAGUUUUUAGUCAUAUGACAUACAAAGGCUCAUUCUCUGCUCAAGUUUGUGAGUGUAUUGUCAUUUCAAGAUAGAGGAUAUUAGUAGAAAGUGAGAAACAUUCAUGGAAGUUGUUUAUGAUCAGAAAUUAUGAAGGAACUGGAAAGGUAUAUUAUUUAGUUAAAAGAGAAUAUCUGUUAUAUAAUAAAGCUGAAAUUCCAUCUGUGUUAUAUAAUGAUAAAGCUGAAAUUCCAGUCAGAUCAUGUCACGUCAUUUUGGGCAAGUGUUUAGGCAUAAGGCAGGGUAUGCAACUUUUGUGAUUACUGACAUAUAUGCAGAAGGAACACUGAAGUAACAUAACAACUGAUGUGCUUCAGUGCUAAGAAUUUGACACUGACUUCUUUCAUAUCAGUGAAAUACUUAAUCAUCAGUCUGGAAGCCUCUAUCAUCAUAAUCAUUCUGGAAAGUUUGUCAAACUUAGACCAGAACUAAGGAGCUGCUCACCAUAUUUUUUGACCAAGAUGAUGUUCACCAUAGGUAUGCUCUAAAGCAGUGGUUCUCAACCUUUUGUAAGCUAGUUCAAUGCAGUUGGGAUCCCUUCUGCCCUGUGCCAUCCACUCAACCCACUCCCCAAUUAUGCACCAUAGAUAGAUAGAUGCUGCAUCUCCUUUGGAGUCCAUGAUUUUCCAUGAUUUUUUUCCACUCCCAUCCUGUGCUCCUGCCCCCCUGGGAGAGUGUCUGUGCCCCCCUAGUUGAGAACCACUGCUCUAGAGGGUCAAAAUGUGAACAGUGAUGUUGCAAUGUAUGAUCUAUGACAGCUUUGUCAUUAUAGCACAAGUGCGGUAAUCUCUGUAUUCACCAAACCAUGAUUUCUCUCUAGAACCUCCAUUCAGUAAACAAGUAAGGGAAAAAAAGUGGGAAAACCUGCCGAGAUAAUGUACUGACAUCACUCUCACACACACACACACACACACACACACACACUGUAGAAGAGACAUCAAAAAGUAUAGUUUUCCUCACAGAAGUGUCAACAACUGGAAUGAACUCAGUGAAGACACUGUCAAUGCUGUAACUGGCCAUGCUUUUAAGACCAAACUGGAUAGAUAUAGAGAUGGGAUACUAAGGGAUUACUCCCCUCCCAUAAACCACAACUAGGUAAAUACAACUAAGUAAAUAUGCACACACACACACACACACACACACACACACACACACACACAGUUUAAUCAUGGUUAUAUGUAUGUGUUAAAUGACAGCAUUUUAAAGAGUUCCUCAGUAUAAUAGUCAUCCUUUAAGUGACCUCGUAGCAUGUGAGUGAGAUAAAGGUUAAUGGAGUCUGAUUGUGUACAUUAUAUGCCUAGUCUUUAGUUAGUUAUAUUUUUAUAAUUAUUUUUUAUACUUUGUUAAUACUUAAGAAUCUGUCUUAAAACACACACACACACACACACACACACACACACACUCUUGCAUGAACCUAAAGUAUAAAUGUGUUUGAUCAUAUGUGUUGAGCAUAUCAGUAGUUUUAACUAGAUUUCCAAAGUUAAUUUUUUUUUUCUCCAAACUCAGAUUAACAAAGUCUGACAAGUGUUAAACUAUACUCAGUAUAUUCAGUAUCUUCCUUACUCAUUGGUUAUAUAACCUAUUUUGUCUUAUUUUUAUCUUGUUAUCUGUUUUUAUUUAUUUGGGUGUGAUGUAAAUGUAUGACUUAACUAAAUUGUUAUUAUUAUUUUUUCUUACAGAUUUGGAAAGUAGCUUGUCAGCCUUCUCUGAUUAACAGUGCUCAUAUACUUGGUUAAACACUUUAUUUAUAGUGAACUGGCUUCUAUGGGAUUGAAUUGUUUAUGUGUACAUCUAUAAUUUCGUAAGAAUUUUCCAAAACUUGUCAGUUUCAGUCAGGGUUGGAAAAAUCACAAUUUUUCUAAACAAAGAUAAUAAAAAUCUUUUUUUUUUUUUUUAUCAGAUUUUCAAAAAAUACAAAUUGAUUUUAAAAAAUUUAUUUAUUUAUUUAUUUAUUUAUUUAUUUAUUUGUUUAUUUUUUAUUUAUUUAUUUAUUUAUUUAUUUUUUAUUUAUUUAUUUUUUUUAUCUUUGUUUGUUUCCAUUGGUUAUUUGUUUCAGUCUUAUGAUGCCAUUUUCUUCUAUUAAACUUGGCCAAUCUUAAAUGAAACCAUAGUUUAAUAUACAUUAAUGAAGAUGAGUUUUUCACAUGAAAAUCAUAAGUAGGACUAAUAGUUUAAUUAGAUCUGUUAUGUUAAAAGUAACUAACUUUGCAUAAAAAAUAAAAGAAAGAAUUAACCCUCUAAGACCCAAAGGUAAUACUUGUUCAUUCUUUUCAGUGGCAGGGAGUGUGCAUGAUUGAAGAACCCAUUUUUGCACUCAGAAUUGUUUAGUUUCAAGAGAUAUUUCCCACCUUGUACUUAUAUUAUGUGUAUGAAUUAUAUGCCAUUAUCAUUAUAGAUAUUUUCUAUAACAUUACCACAUAAAAUAAAGUAAAAUAAGCCAAAUUGAUUACAAUAUGGGUCUUGGAAUAAAUACAUAUGAACUGUGAUUUCAGUUCACAGCAAAAAAAAUUAGUGGGCCAACUUUUUAUGUAUAGACUUCCAAAACAUGUGGCAUUGUGUUAGCUUCCCAAUGAAAGAGUUUGUUUUCUGUGAAAUAGUUUAGCAUCCUGCAGAAAUGAGCUAAAACUAAAUGUUUCCAGAAAAACUGUAUUUUCUUAUAUCUAUUAGGUUUUUUCAUCAAUUAUUUAUGAUACAGUUUUGAAUUUGAUUUUGCCAUGUAAAACUACUCACAACAAAGAUAAUGGAUGUAGUUUAUAUAUAUAUAUAUAUAUAUAUAUAUAUAUAUAUAUAUAUAUAUAUAUAUAUAUAUAUAUAUAUAUAUAUAUAGUUUUUCUUUAUAUUUAUAUCAACCCUGCGUUAGUAAAUACGUACAUACCGCCAGAAUUAACACCAUAUUUUCUCGCAACUUUCCUGUGUAAAAUAGUAAUUUUAUAUGCUUAUAAUAAUGAGAAUUUUCAAAAGAAUAUCAGUGAUGUCUUCAAAGUUUUCAUAUCUGGAGUAUUUCCUGGGAUAUGUUCAUGUUUCUUUGACUAACCACUAAACAAAAAUGUAAUAAUUUACUCUCUCUCUCUCUCUCUCUCUCUCUCUCUCUCUCUCUCUCUCUCUCUCUCUCUCUCUCUCUCUCUCUCUCUCUCUCUCUCUCUCUUAAUUUUGAAGAAGGAUAAUUUUCAAAUCUAAUAUAUAAAUAGGUUUGAAAAUUAUCAUUAUCCUUCAAAAUUGUAUGGUUAUUAUGUGGAGAGAGAGAGAGAGAGAGAGAGAGAGAGAGAGAGAGAGAGAGAGAGAGAGAGAGAGAGAGAGAGAGAGAGAAUAAAUAUCACAAGUGCAAUCUUAGACUACUGCAAAAAAAGUCCGGACUUGGAUUUAAAUGCUGUUACCAAAUGUUACAGUAAAAUCCCUCUUAUCCGGCAUCAACGGGACCGCCGACAUGCCGGAUACUUGAAUAGAAGUGAAAUUAUGUCCACAAUCACCACCCUACACUCACUCAUCUUACCAUAACAAAGGUCAGCUGAUCUUAAUCAGCAGCUGAUCUGAUCAGCUGCUUAAGUGCAAGCACAACACGCUUCCUCUUUUCUACAACUUUAGGCAUGAUGAAGGCAUCAGGCGAUAAACAGUGCACACGCGGGACUGAGUCACUGAGUAAACACAGUGCAGAGGGCUGCAGGUGGCGCGAAGCAGUGCGCUCUGGUGGCGAGGGGACAAGUAUGCCUCGCACGGGAAUUUUAAUUGAUUUUAUGAGUACACAUUGAUUUUUUAUUGAUUUUAAGGCUCGGGGAAAAAUGUGCCGGAUACUUGAAGCUGCCGGAUACUCGAAUGCUGGAUGAGAGGGAUUUUACUGUAUAUGAUAAUUUAGAUAUAUUUUCAUUACUUAGUAAUAUGAUUCUCAUAUUCAUGUACUGAAAACAUAUUUUGCAUAUAUCUAAUAUAUCAUAAUACUCAGUGAAUCACCAAACAGAGGAUGGGUGACAAGCCUUAGACCUUUAAAUCCUGCUGCCACUCAGAAAACCUUCAGAAUCUGACUGCCAGGAGCCCAUUGGCAGAUAUAAUGACUGGGCAGUACAUAUAGUUUUUGUUGACCAUUACUAUACAGUUUUGAAAUUCAUCGUCUUACUCUCAUCUUGGUUAAAUUUUACACAGAUAGGGUCAUUUCUUGAUUUUUGUUGAAUAUUUAUUACUUUGCCAUGCCAUAUGACGCAUCAAGCAUUAUUGAGGUUUCCAGACCACAUUCUAUGAAUGACACUUUGUCAUUGGAAUUGUGAGGGUUAAUCUCAUUAAACUUCGUUAUUACAUUUAUUGUUAUUAGCAACAAAAACACCAUUUUUUUUAUGCUUUGGAAUAUUUUUCUUGUAUGAGAUGGCAAUGAUUCCUUGGUGCCUGACUUGCUACACCACCAGUACAGGAUCAGUACAGGGCAAGUUGACUUGAUACUUCUCCUGUAUAACUGGUUCAUAUAUUCUUCCUUCGUCAUAUAUAUAUAUAUAUAUAUAUAUAUAUAUAUAUAUAUAUAUAUAUAUAUAUAUAUAUAUAUAUAUAUAUAUAUAUACAUAUAUAUAUAUAUAUAUAUAUAUAUAUAUAUAUAUAUAUAUAUAUAUAUAUAUAUAUAUAUAUAUAUAUAUAUAAAAUUUAAACCAUUAGUUUUACUCGAUAUAACACUUAAACAAUUUUAAAGUACAGUAUAUUUAAUUUUGAUAUAAAUCAAGAUUUUUGACAUUUAAAUAAGUUUAAAUAACUGGAUUUAAAUUUUAUUUAAAUCAAACCAACCCUGGUUUUAAUAGGACAAUUUAUCCUCUUAAGUGCCAGUCUUAAAUUUUAAGGGUUGACUUAUUUUUGAGUGUACUAAGUGAGCCUAUACCUUGCAUUAGCUAUAAGUGAAGUGGCAAGGCAGUGUAUCCUAAGCUUUAAGGAUAUCUUUGCUACUUCUAAUCCAUUUAUUUCAAAUACAGUAGAAAGUUUUUGAGUUUGGGACCAAUUACUUUUUAAGACAUUUCUGUAAACUUCAAAGUGCCUUCCAUCAUACAUGUGUAUACUGUACUUGCUGUUUUGUACUGUCAAACUCAUUUCUCCAUCAAAAUAUUAUGUACUUGUUUCAAGAUAAUUUUUUUAUAUUGUGUUUUCUGUCAUGAUUUCAUAAUUUCAUGAUUUAUAUAUACCUAUAUAAUUCAAUAGUUACUGUAAUACAAGUGGUAUAAUGCAUUAGGAUUAGAUAAAGCAGCCAAGCAAAUGUAUAGAAUUUAAAUUUCUAGGACUGUUUUCCAAGGUUCAAAGCAAGCAUCUAUGUUAUAUUUAUCUUUUCCUUUGUUUCAUAUCCAUUUAUGUUUUAUAAAUCAUACAUCAAUGGGAGUGUGGAGAUGUUCCCAAAUAUUAACCAAAGUUGAAGUACAAUUUCAUUGUCAGCCAGUUUUAACAAAUAGUAAAUUCUUAGGAUAGUUGUCCAAACACUAGUGAAAAUAAUAAUGAAAUAAAAAAAAUUACUCAUCUUGAAA